GACGAACGCUGGCGGCGUGCUUAACACAUGCAAGUCGAACGGUAAGGCCCUUCGGGGUACACGAGUGGCGAACGGGUGAGUAACACGUGGGUGAUCUGCCCUGCACUUCGGGAUAAGCCUGGGAAACUGGGUCUAAUACCGGAUAGGACCAUGGACUUCACGGUUUGUGGUGGAAAGCUUUUGCGGUGUGGGAUGGGCCCGCGGCCUAUCAGCUUGUUGGUGGGGUAAUGGCCUACCAAGGCGACGACGGGUAGCCGGCCUGAGAGGGUGUCCGGCCACACUGGGACUGAGAUACGGCCCAGACUCCUACGGGAGGCAGCAGUGGGGAAUAUUGCACAAUGGGCGCAAGCCUGAUGCAGCGACGCCGCGUGAGGGAUGACGGCCUCGGGUUGUAAACCUACUUUCAAUAGGGACGAAGCGACAAGUGACGGUACCGUAUAGAAGAAGCGACCGGCC
This 456-nucleotide ribosomal RNA is filed under the name uncultured bacterium. Its description in RNAcentral is "bacterial SSU rRNA". It matches the Rfam family "Bacterial small subunit ribosomal RNA", at positions 28 to 498 of the family's 1533-position model. The record is from RNAcentral.